Hypoxylon sp. FL1857 is the source of this 108-nucleotide non-coding RNA. NCBI's taxonomy places the organism in Eukaryota, Fungi, Ascomycota, Sordariomycetes, Xylariales, Hypoxylaceae. The record is from the annotation of a GenBank genome assembly.
GGGAGUUUGGCCGAGUGGUUAAGGCGUCGUGUUUAGGUCUCCUCACAGGAAAUCUUGAACGUUGUUCCGCGAUGGGAAACCGCGCAGGUUCGAAUCCUGCAGCUCUCA